UGGGGAAUAUUGGACAAUGGGCGAAAGCCUGAUCCAGCCAUGCCGCGUGUGUGAAGAAGGUCUUCGGAUUGUAAAGCACUUUAAGUUGGGAGGAAGGGCAGUAAAUUAAUACUUUGCUGUUUUGACGUUACCGACAGAAUAAGCACCGGCUAACUCUGUGCCAGCAGCCGCGGUAAUACAGAGGGUGCAAGCGUUAAUCGGAAUUACUGGGCGUAAAGCGCGCGUAGGUGGUUCGUUAAGUUGGAUGUGAAAUCCCCGGGCUCAACCUGGGAACUGCAUUCAAAACUGACGAGCUAGAGUAUGGUAGAGGGUGGUGGAAUUUCCUGUGUAGCGGUGAAAUGCGUAGAUAUAGGAAGGAACACCAGUGGCGAAGGCGACCACCUGGACUGAUACUGACACUGAGGUGCGAAAGCGUGGGGGAGCAAAACAGGAUUAGAU
RNAcentral lists this ribosomal RNA (438 nucleotides) under uncultured bacterium. Its description in RNAcentral is "partial 16S ribosomal RNA". It matches the Rfam family "Bacterial small subunit ribosomal RNA", at positions 355 to 783 of the family's 1533-position model. The record is from RNAcentral.